AAUAUUGCGCAAUGGAGGGAACUCUGACGCAGCGACGCCGCGUGAGCGAUGAAGGUUUUCGGAUCGUAAAGCUCUGUCCUUGGGGAAGAAGGUCUUCGGACUUGACGGUACCUAAGGAGGAAGCCCCGGCUAACUACGUGCCAGCAGCCGCGGUAAUACGUAGGGGGCAAGCGUUGUCCGGAAUUAUUGGGCGUAAAGCGCGCGCAGGCGGUCUUUUAAGUCUGAUGUGAAAUCUCGCGGCUCAACCGCGAGCGGUCAUUGGAAACUGGGAGACUUGAGUAUAGGAGAGGAAAGUGGAAUUCCACGUGUAGCGGUGAAAUGCGUAGAGAUGUGGAGGAACACCAGUGGCGAAGGCGACUUUCUGGCCUAUAACUGACGCUGAGGCGCGAAAGCGUGGGGAGCAAAC
This 406-nucleotide ribosomal RNA is filed under the name uncultured bacterium. Its description in RNAcentral is "partial 16S ribosomal RNA". It matches the Rfam family "Bacterial small subunit ribosomal RNA", at positions 360 to 773 of the family's 1533-position model. The record is from RNAcentral.